UAACACAUGCAAGUCGAACGCCCCUUCGGGGGAGUGGCAGACGGGUGAGUAACGCGUGGGAACGUACCUUUCGGUUCGGAAUAGCCCCGGGAAACUGGGUGUAAUACCGGAUACGUCCUUAGGGAGAAAGAUUUAUCGCCGAAAGAUCGGCCCGCGUUAGAUUAGCUAGUUGGUGGGGUAAAAGCCUACCAAGGCUACGAUCUAUAGCUGGUCUGAGAGGAUGAUCAGCCACACUGGGACUGAGACACGGCCCAGACUCCUACGGGAGGCAGCAGUGAGGAAUCUUGGACAAUGGGCGCAAGCCUGAUCCAGCCAUGCCGCGUGAAUGAUGAAGGCCUUAGGGUUGUAAAAUUCUUUCAGCAGGGAAGAUAAUGACGGUACCUGCAGAAGAAGCCCCGGCUAACUCCGUGCCAACAGG
RNAcentral lists this ribosomal RNA (418 nucleotides) under uncultured Alphaproteobacteria bacterium. Its description in RNAcentral is "bacterial SSU rRNA". It matches the Rfam family "Bacterial small subunit ribosomal RNA", at positions 49 to 515 of the family's 1533-position model. Lineage: Bacteria; Pseudomonadati; Pseudomonadota; Alphaproteobacteria. The record is from RNAcentral.